UACAGAGGGGGCAAGCGUUGUUCGGAAUUACUGGGCGUAAAGGGCGCGUAGGCGGCCUGUUAAGUCGAACGUGAAAUCCCCGGGCUCAACCCGGGAACUGCGUCCGAUACUGGCAGGCUUGAAUUCGGGAGAGGGAUGCGGAAUUCCUGGUGUAGCGGUGAAAUGCGUAGAUAUCAGGAGGAACACCGGUGGCGAAGGCGGCUUUCUGGACAGAUACCGACGCUGAGGCACGAAAGCUAGGGGAGCAAACAGG
RNAcentral lists this ribosomal RNA (253 nucleotides) under uncultured bacterium. RNAcentral's name for it is "partial 16S ribosomal RNA". It matches the Rfam family "Bacterial small subunit ribosomal RNA", at positions 524 to 776 of the family's 1533-position model. The record is from RNAcentral.